Molecule: ribosomal RNA, 484 nt
Filed under: uncultured bacterium
Lineage: Bacteria
Description: partial 16S ribosomal RNA
Rfam family: Bacterial small subunit ribosomal RNA
Source: RNAcentral
AUUGAACGCUGGCGGCAGGCCUAACACAUGCCAGUCGAGCGGAUGCAGGGAGCUUGCUCCUGGAUUCAGCGGCGGACGGGUGAGUAAUGCCUAGGAAUCUGCCUGGUAGUGGGGGAUAACGUCCGGAAACGGGCGCUAAUACCGCAUUAGUCCUGAGGGAGAAAGUGGGGGAUCUUCGGACCUCACGCUAUCAGAUGAGCCUAGGUCGGAUUAGCUAGUUGGUGGGGUAAAGGCCUACCAAGGCGACGAUCCGUAACUGGUCUGAGAGGAUGAUCAGUCACACUGGAACUGAGACACGGUCCAGACUCCUACGGGAGGCAGCAGUGGGGAAUAUUGGACAAUGGGCGAAAGCCUGAUCCAGCCAUGCCGCGUGUGUGAAGAAGGUCUUCGGAUUGUAAAGCACUUUAAGUUGGGAGGAAGGGCAGUAAGUUAAUACCUUGCUGUUUUGACGUUACCAACAGAAUAAGCACCGGCUAACUUCGUG